UCCACGUCGUCAGUACCAGCUGACAUUCAGAAGAGGUGUGGCUAGUUAACGCGGUCAUCGAAUUUCUGACAACAACGAAUUAAAAAAAGAGGUAAAUAUCGUCUAUACCAAACGGUCGUACUUGUCCAAUUUAAGCAUAAAGCAUUUAGAGUGACGUGCGGUGAAAAAGCAGAUUUUCUGUCGGUAAAUUCCUUGGAUAGGCUACUUUUUAUACCAAUGUACCCAUUAAACAAACAGUGUAUUCCGCCGAUUAAGGCGGGUGGUAAAGCUUGGAGAGCGAAUACUGUCUGCUUAUUCCUGCUCGCUGUCGCUCGAAUUUUAUCUUCCGUCACUGUCUAGAUCAGCAGCAUGAUGCUAACAGCAACGAGUUUCAGGUCAAAGCCUCAAAGCAGUACAACACGAGCGUGCCUUCGGAACUUUAAUGCAUGUCAAGUUCGGAAAAAACAAACAUUUCAAGCGAGAUUGGCCCGAUCCGAGUAUCCAGAUCUUCUAAAGCCGCUUAUCUAUUUAUUUGACAUACUUUAACUUGCUGCAAGGGAAUAAGAUACUUCUCAAAUAUCUACCAUUAAGGCGAAGAUGAGUGGAUACGUAUUAGAAACAGCGACAGCCUACAAACUGAUUCUGAGUACGGCGUAGCCGCCUCUAGCAAUUUUAAUGCUUCGUCGCUGUCUCUGGCCAUAACUCAUAGCUAUAAAAGAAAAAGGCCUCCUAUCAGGACAUUGCUUUACGUGGAAGAUACCAGGGGGAGGGGGGAUUUCUCCCGCUUUGUUAAAGGGGUAACAGCAAGCUGCCAGACAGUUUCUACGAAUGCGUCAACAGCGCGGUGUCGCACCGACAUACAUUGUUCGAUCCGAUAAGUUGUAAACGGUCAAAGCGGCCCUCAUCAACUAGACCCAUACUGUCUAGUGGCAUGUUGACAGAAUCUAAUAAGGCGGUAAACACUGUGUCCUGUCGGCUUAAUGAAGCUUUGUUCUUCUAGACGUUGGCUCGUUUAAAACGAAUUAAAGGAAUUGUAACCUGUAUUAGCUGCUAAACAUGUUGUCCUUUCGGUACAAACCAU
This is a long non-coding RNA of Varroa destructor (honeybee mite), 1060 nucleotides long. NCBI's taxonomy places the organism in Eukaryota, Metazoa, Arthropoda, Arachnida, Mesostigmata, Varroidae. The record is from RefSeq and is a predicted model, not a curated record.